This 110-nucleotide transfer RNA is filed under the name Pleuronectes platessa (European plaice). It matches the Rfam family "tRNA". From Rfam's summary of the family: Transfer RNA (tRNA) molecules are approximately 80 nucleotides in length. Their secondary structure includes four short double-helical elements and three loops (D, anti-codon, and T loops). Further hydrogen bonds mediate the characteristic L-shaped molecular structure. tRNAs have two regions of fundamental functional importance: the anti-codon, which is responsible for specific mRNA codon recognition, and the 3' end, to which the tRNAs corresponding amino acid is attached (by aminoacyl-tRNA synthetases). tRNAs cope with the degeneracy of the genetic code in two manners: having more than one tRNA (with a specific anti-codon) for a particular amino acid; and 'wobble' base-pairing, i.e. permitting non-standard base-pairing at the 3rd anti-codon position. Lineage: Eukaryota; Metazoa; Chordata; Actinopteri; Pleuronectiformes; Pleuronectidae. The record is from Rfam by way of RNAcentral.
GUCAGGAUGGCCGAGCGGUCUAAGGUGCCAGACUCAAGGAUUGACUUCUCCUGGUCAAGGGGAUUUCUGGUCUCCGAAUGGAGGCCUGGGUUCAAAUCCCACUUCUGACA